CCGGUACAAGAAACCGUGUACCGGUACAAGGAGCCCGAAACAGCAGGGCAGUUUUAGAAAGUGGAAAAGUUGAGGGGCUUUUGGGAUUUCGUUACAAUAGAGAGAUAUUAGCCCUCUCUCAGCCUCUCUCUCACACACUUAGCCUCUCUCUCUCCCUCAAACAUAGCUCUCUCUCUCUCUAACCGUGAGAAGAAGAAAAGAAGGAGAAGAAGAAAGAAUGAGAGAAAGAAGGAGAAAUGAAGAAGGAAAAGGAGGAGAAGAUCAAGGAGAAGGAAACGAA
Molecule: long non-coding RNA, 280 nt
Filed under: Ananas comosus (pineapple)
Lineage: Eukaryota; Viridiplantae; Streptophyta; Magnoliopsida; Poales; Bromeliaceae
Description: long non-coding RNA (ACOM_LNC022331)
Source: RNAcentral